GACGAACGCUGGCGGCGUGCUUAACACAUGCAAGUCGAACGGACAGGCCCUGCUUUUGUGGGUUGCUCGAGUGGCGAACGGGUGAGUGACACGUGAGUAACCUGCCCUUGACUUUGGGAUAACUUCAGGAAACUGGGGCUAAUACCGGAUAGGAGCUCCUGCUGCAUGGUGGGGGUUGGAAAGUUUCGGCGGUUGGGGCUGGACUCGCGGCUUAUCAGCUUGUUGGUGGGGUUGUGGCUUACCAAGGCUUUGACGGGUAGCCGGCCUGAGAGGGUGACCGGCCACAUUGGGACUGAGAUACGGCCCAGACUCCUACGGGAGGCAGCAGUGGGGAAUAUUGCACAAUGGGCGGAAGCCUGAUGCAGCAACGCCGCGUGCGGGAUGACGGCCUUCGGGUUGUAAACCGCUUUCGCCUGUGACGAAGCGUGAGUGACGGUAAUGGGUAAAGAAGCACCGGCUAACUACGUG
This 468-nucleotide ribosomal RNA is filed under the name uncultured bacterium. RNAcentral's name for it is "partial 16S ribosomal RNA". It matches the Rfam family "Bacterial small subunit ribosomal RNA", at positions 28 to 507 of the family's 1533-position model. The record is from RNAcentral.